CGGAGGGUGCAAGCGUUGUUCGGAUUUAUUGGGCGUAAAGCGCGUGUAGGCGGUUUCUUAAGUCUGAUGUGAAAGCCCUGGGCUCAACCCAGGAAGUGCAUUGGAUACUGGGAGACUUGAAUACGGGAGAGGGUAGUGGGAUUCCUAGUGUAGGAGUGAAAUCCGUAGAUAUUAGGAGGAACACCGGUGGCGAAGGCGGCUACCUGGACCGAUAUUGACGCUGAGACGCGAAAGCGUGGGGAGCAAACAGGAUUAGAUACCCUGGUAGUCCACGCCGUAAACGAUGAGAACUAGGUGUUGCGGGUAUUGACCCCUGCAGUGCCGCAGCUAACGCAUUAAGUUCUCCGCCUGGAAAGUACGGUCGCAAGACUA
Molecule: ribosomal RNA, 372 nt
Filed under: uncultured organism
Description: bacterial SSU rRNA
Rfam family: Bacterial small subunit ribosomal RNA
Source: RNAcentral